RNAcentral lists this small nucleolar RNA (87 nucleotides) under Mucor circinelloides 1006PhL. Lineage: Eukaryota; Fungi; Mucoromycota; Mucoromycetes; Mucorales; Mucoraceae. The record is from RNAcentral.
AAAUGAUGAGCCCAAUUAGAUGACGAGUCUGAAGAGUCGUUCAAUGUCGAAAAAACUUUUUUUAAUACCAUUCAUGCCUUUCUGAAA